This 1268-nucleotide unclassified non-coding RNA is filed under the name Hevea brasiliensis (rubber tree). The record is from RNAcentral. Lineage: Eukaryota; Viridiplantae; Streptophyta; Magnoliopsida; Malpighiales; Euphorbiaceae.
GGCAAAUCUCUUCGUUUUGAUCCUAUCUCUGUCACUGAAAUAUAUAAAUCGGAGCCUUGGGACCUUCCUGGAAAGUCGAAGCUGAAGACUAGGGACUUGGAGUGGUACUUUUUCAGUCCUUUGGAUAAGAAGUAUGGUAACAGUUCGAGGACGAACAGAGCUACUGAGAAUGGGUACUGGAAGACGACUGGGAAGGAUCGGCCGGUACGACAUAACUCCCGAGUGGUUGGAAUGAAGAAGACUCUUGUUUACCACAGUGGGCGGGCGCCUCGCGGGACUCGCAGCAAUUGGGUGAUGCAUGAAUACAGACUUACAGAUGAGGACUUGGAGAAAGCUGGGGUUGUGCAGGAUGCCUAUGUGCUUUGUAGGAUAUUUCAAAAGAGUGGUUCAGGUCCUAAGAAUGGAGAGCAAUACGGAGCUCCAUUUAUCGAAGAAGAGUGGGAGGAUGAUAAAGAGUUAACUCUGCCUGGCGAGGAGGUUGUGGCCAAUGAAGGGUUAGUUGAUGUAGACGACGAUAUGCAUUUUGAAUUGGAUGAUAUUGCUCAGUUUUUUGAUGGAGAACUUCCAAGUGAAUAUGCUCAACCUUUGUCGAACUAUCCUCAAGACACUAGCAAUCAUGUUGAGCUACCCAAUGUUGAAAAUGAUAACAAACCAGAAGUAUUUGCAGGCAAUACAUUUGAGCUACCACAAAGCCACGAUUUCUUUCAUUUACCAGAUCAAUAUGGAAUGGGUGGGAAUUCUGAAAAGGACGAGUGUUUUGCCGAAUCAAGUGGUAAUUUUGCCGAAUCAAGUGACAAUUUUAAGCAGGAGGAUAUUGAUUACUUACUCGAGGAGCCUUACCCAAGUGUUCCAGAUGAUCUUGCCCUCAAUGAGGAAUUAUUCCUGGAGGCAAAUGAUCUUUCAAAUCCAGUUGAUUCUGAUCCAACUGGUUUAGACGUGCUUGAAGAGUAUCUUACAUUCUUUGAUGCAGAUGAUGACAACUUACAGCUGGCUUUUGACCCGUCAGAUGUUUUGGGUAUUGAAGAACCUACUUCUGGCCGAGCAAUUCUUGAAGAGAAAGUGAAUGGGGUAGCAGAAGAAGAGUUCAUGGCUACUAAACAAUCGUCCAUGGCUUCCACAAAUGAUGCAUCUACUUCAAAUAAAAACCCUGAGGCUAUUGAAACAGGUUCAGAUUCAAAAUCAUCAUUCUUGAAACGUGCCAGUUACCUGUUAGGAAACAUCCCUGCCCCUCCUGCAUUUGCUUCUGAGUAUCCAUCAAAAGACAUGGC